UACAGAGGGUGCGAGCGUUAAUCGGAAUUACUGGGCGUAAAGGGCGCGUAGGCGGUUAUAUAAGUUGGAUGUGAAAUCCCUGGGCUUAACCUAGGAACUGCAUCCAAGACUGUAUGACUAGAGUGCAGUAGAGGAUAGUGGAAUUUCCGGUGUAGCGGUGAAAUGCGUAGAUAUCGGAAGGAACACCAGUGGCGAAGGCGGCUAUCUGGACUGACACUGACGCUGAGGCGCGAAAGCGUGGGUAGCAAACAGG
This 253-nucleotide ribosomal RNA is filed under the name uncultured bacterium. RNAcentral describes it as "partial 16S ribosomal RNA". It matches the Rfam family "Bacterial small subunit ribosomal RNA", at positions 524 to 776 of the family's 1533-position model. The record is from RNAcentral.